CCUACGUGGAUUUCGUCUCCAGCGACGCCACGGCGCGGCGCGCCAGGGGACAAGGGGAAUCGCUCGCUUUGACCUGCGCGCAGCCGCAAGUUGAGGUGCCCGUGGUGUGGGCGUAUCAAUGGUAGGCUAGAGAUGAGGUGUGAGAAGCGGAGAACGCGCAGGGCCGCCGCAUUGCCAACCGAUCCCGGUGCCGGCCCGUGACGCCGACGCCGCGUGCCGGACGCCGAGGGAACGGCCAAAAUCAACAGCAGGGAGUCCGGCUUCUAUCGUGGCCCUGCAGCCGCACAGCCUGCACCUGUACCGGCGGUAUGUGAAGGAGAAGAGAUCCGUGGGAGGCGCACGGGAAACCACUGGCGGCCGCGGCGACGUGCGCCGGCUGUUGGAAGCAUGGGGUUUGGUUUGGGACGCUGCCUGCCCUCACCGCCUGCAGGGGGCCACCGGUUUUGCGGUGCGGAUCCAACGGACACGACCAGGAGUCCACGAUCGCCGAUGCCGGCCUGGCUCCGUCAGAUCACAGGACCCGGCAGGUAAGCAAGGCAAUCAUCGGAUCGUUCGGAAACCUGAUGAUUCGC
RNAcentral lists this long non-coding RNA (572 nucleotides) under Setaria italica (foxtail millet). RNAcentral describes it as "long non-coding RNA (SITA_LNC005434)". Lineage: Eukaryota; Viridiplantae; Streptophyta; Magnoliopsida; Poales; Poaceae. The record is from RNAcentral.